AUGUAUGUGUAUGUAUGUGUGUGUUUGUCUGUGUGUGUCUUGUUUGUGUUUGUGUGUGGGUUUGUAUAUAUGUUUGCAUAUGUGUGUAUGUACAUGUGUGUAUCUUUCUGUGUGUGUCUGUAUGUGUCUGUCUUUGUGUUAGUGUGUGGGUUCUUAUGUAUGUGUGUGUAUGUAUGUAUGUAUGUAUGUAUGUCGUGGGUGUGUGGGUGUGUAUGUAUGAGUAUGUAUGUGUGUGUGACUUUCUGUGUCUGUGUCUUACUGUGUGUGUGGGUUUGUAUUUAUGUAUGUAUGUAUGUGUGUGUGUGUGUGUGUGUGUGUGUGGCAGCAGGACAUCUUCCCCUCGUGAAGCUCAAGCUCACGGCGAAAAUGCAUGACCAUGAGAUCAGGCUCUGCCUUCCAGGGUGCAUUUUCCAAAAUUCCUUUGGGAGACCCAGGCAAAGAGGAGAGACCCCGAGAGGGCUGCUGUCUACCGGCUCGCUCCCGAAAUGCAUGCAGUGGCUGCUGGAGCAAAGCCGGCAUCAGGAUGGCCAAUGGAUUGUUUCUGAAAGCAAACCAAAGCCCUUUGUUCCUGUUCCCUCUGCAGCGCCCAGGUGUGCUCGCCGCAGCCGCACGGCCUUUACCCCCGACCAGUUGGGGAUGUUGAAAGCUGUUUUCGAAACGACCCCCUGUCCUGACUGGGAGAAGAUACAAGAGUUAGCGGCAAAGCUAUGUUUGGAUGAGUGUGUGAUCAAGACCUGGUUUAAAAAUCAGCGCGCCCAGCAAAGAAAACUGCAGCGAAAGGGCCAGCCCCGCCAGCCCGGCGAGUCCCCACCACCACCAGGUUCAGAGCUCAGCGCACCUUCGCAGGAAGAUCACGGCCCUGAGAGCUCCCAGGCGCAUGGCCCCGAGGCUGCCGAAGACCCGCUGCCCGCCGAUCUGCAAAAUAUCCAUCUGGACUCCUCAGCGCCCUGGGCUUCGUUGCCCCAUGACAUCGGGGAGCUGGUGCGCAUGUACGGCUUGUUCGAUGACGACGAGCCCGACGACUAG
This 1026-nucleotide long non-coding RNA is filed under the name Oryctolagus cuniculus (rabbit). RNAcentral's name for it is "lncRNA (ENSOCUG00000035233.1)". Lineage: Eukaryota; Metazoa; Chordata; Mammalia; Lagomorpha; Leporidae. The record is from RNAcentral.